This 372-nucleotide ribosomal RNA is filed under the name uncultured organism. RNAcentral's name for it is "partial 16S ribosomal RNA". It matches the Rfam family "Bacterial small subunit ribosomal RNA", at positions 526 to 896 of the family's 1533-position model. The record is from RNAcentral.
GUAGGGGUCCAAGCGUUAAUCGGAAUUACUGGGCGUAAAGCGUGCGCAGGCGGGUUGUGCAAGACCGAUGUGAAAUCCCCGGGGCUUAACCUGGGAAUUGCAUUGGUGACUGCACGGCUAGAGUGUGUCAGAGGGGGGUAGAAUUCCACGUGUAGCAGUGAAAUGCGUAGAGAUGUGGAGGAAUACCGAUGGCGAAGGCAGCCCCCUGGGAUAACACUGACGCUCAUGCACGAAAGCGUGGGGAGCAAACAGGAUUAGAUACCCUGGUAGUCCACGCCCUAAACGAUGUCAACUAGUUGUUGGGGAUUCAUUUCCUUAGUAACGUAGCUAACGCGUGAAGUUGACCGCCUGGGGAGUACGGUCGCAAGAUUA